This is a long non-coding RNA of Pelmatolapia mariae (spotted tilapia), 401 nucleotides long. RefSeq lists it as uncharacterized. The transcript is spliced from 4 exons. The record is from RefSeq and is a predicted model, not a curated record. NCBI's taxonomy places the organism in Eukaryota, Metazoa, Chordata, Actinopteri, Cichliformes, Cichlidae.
AGAAGUGUGAUUCAAUGGUACCCACAUGUGUGCUGCUGAGAAGGAUGUACAAGGGCACCUGCAGCCAAAUCCAAGCCUCCUCAGAGCAGAGCGGCAGUUUGUGCUCACAGAUGGUGACGGUGUGGAGAGACGGUGGUGUUUCCUCAGAAGAACUAGCAGAGUCACAAAGAGCACCAGUCCAUCUCACCACCUUGACUUGCUGACUGAUGCUCGUCUGCACUGCACAGAGGAAAUCAACUGACCGAGGAGUGUUUCUGGGUGAGGGAGAGAGGAGUCAUCAUCCAGGUAAAGUGACGUGGAUCAGUGGACACACUUGUCUCCCCUUUAAAGGAGAUACUCUUAGAGAGAGACGAUCCGAGUCAUCCCUAAAUAUGGGCAGGAUGUCAGUCUUGGACUGUCUA